UCCGAGUUGUCCCCGGCAGUCUCAUAUGAGUUCCCACCAUUACGUGCUGGCAACAUACGACGAGGGUUGCGCUCGUUGCGGGACUUAACCCAACAUCUCACGACACGAGCUGACGACAACCAUGCACCACCUGUAACCGAGUGUCCAAAGAGUUCGCUAUCUCUAGCGCGUUCUCGGUUAUGUCAAGCCUUGGUAAGGUUCUUCGCGUUGCAUCGAAUUAAUCCGCAUGCUCCGCCGCUUGUGCGGGCCCCCGUCAAUUCCUUUGAGUUUUAGCCUUGCGGCCGUACUCCCCAGGCGGGGCGCUUAAUGCGUUAGCUACGACACGGAAACCGUGGAAAGGUCCCCACACCUAGUACCCAUCGUUUACGGCUGGGACUAC
RNAcentral lists this unclassified non-coding RNA (379 nucleotides) under uncultured Microbacteriaceae bacterium. RNAcentral's name for it is "contains 16S-23S intergenic spacer region". Lineage: Bacteria; Bacillati; Actinomycetota; Actinomycetes; Micrococcales; Microbacteriaceae. The record is from RNAcentral.